GGAGAGUGUAUUAUUUCUUGAUAAUUCUGGAAUGAAUUACAAGAUUACACAAUCAGAGUUAUAUAGCAGCUUUGGUAACUGCUUGUAACUAACUCCUAGCUGCUGUUAGUAGCUCUAUAACAGCCUAACUGGCAAUAACAACCAGCUAUCUGACUCUUCUAAUUCAGUGACACUUGCUAACUAACUCAGCUGCAAUUAUCAUCUACACUUGUCCUCAUCAUAUAUACUACCAAUCUACUCUCUAUUUCUUCUAUAUUUCCUUCUUGGGUAUGUAACAAUGCCCCCCUCAAUUAACGCUUUCUUGUCCCCAAGAAUAUGCAAAUUUUGGAAAUUGAGCCAGAAUGAAGGUCUUCCCAUGUGGCAUCCUCAACUAGCAUGUUGACCCACUUAAGAAGUCUCUGCAAGACAUGGUGCUGAUUCCUGGGGAUGACCCUGGUAUGUAGAACCUUCUCAGGAGCAACUACCAUGAGGUCUUCUUGCAUCAGAAGGAAAUCCACCACAUGAGUGAUAUUAUCUCCCACAUCUUCUUCAGCAUUGAGAUGUGAAAGAUGGGGUGAAUGGCAGAGGAUGGUCGCAACUCCUGUUUGUAAGCCACCUUCCCCAUCCCUGCUAUGAUCUGAUAUGGACCAUAGUACCUAGUAGAGUUUUUCAGUGUUUGUAUCAAAGCCAAAGAAGUUUGCCUAUAUGGCUGAAGCUUCAAGUAAACCAAGUCUCCCACUGAAAAUUCCCUUUCUGUUAUUUUCUUGUCUGCCUGUUGCUUCAUCCUAUUUUGGGCCACUUGUAAACUGUCUUUUAGGAUGUAACUGAGGUACUGCCUUUCCCUUAGAAAAUCUCCAACAUUGCCCACAACUGGUGACUCAGGUAGGAUAACAGGUAGACAAGGGAGGAGAAUAACCGUGGAGAGCCUCAAAUAGGUGCAUGUUUAUGGCACUAUGAUAUAACUUGCUGCUGCUCAUAUAGCUUCUGUUUGAAUUUUCCUGAAGAACCCAUUGUCCUGUUGAUUGUGGAACUGUG
This 1014-nucleotide unclassified non-coding RNA is filed under the name Hevea brasiliensis (rubber tree). The record is from RNAcentral. Lineage: Eukaryota; Viridiplantae; Streptophyta; Magnoliopsida; Malpighiales; Euphorbiaceae.